Saccostrea echinata is the source of this 438-nucleotide long non-coding RNA. RefSeq lists it as uncharacterized. The record is from RefSeq and is a predicted model, not a curated record. NCBI's taxonomy places the organism in Eukaryota, Metazoa, Mollusca, Bivalvia, Ostreida, Ostreidae. The transcript has 3 exons.
AGUUGAGCGGUUGAGACGUCAUAGCUUAGCAGUUGUGAGAUUGAAAACAUUACAUAGCAUGGAUUUUAGCAACAUAUUUGGGAAGAAAUUUGCCGUUUUAGCUCUAUCAAGUUGUUGGCUUUACCUGAAUUCAGACACGAGGAUGUUAAACAAAACAUGGACUAUACUCGAUCCAGACCAUAAAGUCGGAGAGAAAAAUCGGGCCGCUGUGCCAGACACCGCCCUUAUGCGAGAAAAACACGUAACCAUGGAGAAACAGUGGCAAAAACUGGUCACAUGGGCAACGACCCGAUGUAGAUCACUGAGAAUUCCUAAUUAAUAUAUCUGGUUUUGGAUUCUAAUAUAUACUGCCUUCGAAGAUGUAGCGGUUACAAGGAUAGACGAGUGCAGUUUUUUUAUUGGAAAAAAAUUGAAUGAAAUUCAAUCACAAUUUUUUAA